UGUUCUGGGAAGCCGAAGCCUCUGUUCCGGCUCCGCAGGUUCCCUGGACACCGGCUUCCCGAGGCGGGCUGGUCUCGGAAGCGCACACCGCUCCUCUACCUUCCCCGCCGCCUUCUUCUCCAUCUCAGCUCUUACCCCAGCUCCUGUCUGGGGUUCUCACCUGAUCUUGGAGGCUGGUUCUGGACAUUUGGCUCAUAUUUUCUCUUCGCUACUUCCUCGGGUGGCGGUCGAAGUGUUCCACAGCAAAAGCAGCAGCAGCAACAGCAACAGCAACAGGUGAGGCACCCUUCUUAAGCUCCAGCACUGCGUAGAGGGUUGACCCAGUUUUGGACAACCGGCGGGCUGCCUCCUCCACAUGAGCCAUGUAUGAUCUGGGGCAGCGGAGAAGAAACAUUUGUGAGAACUUCCACAGGGGUGGCCACGGAGACACGAACUACCAAUGACAGGAAACUCACGGCCUUUAGGGGCUUCGCAGAAAAGCGGCUACUAUGGACAGCUCCCACAGCCUUGAAGCCUCUCGGAGAAAGGGUUUCCAUGUCACGCUGCCUGUUGUCCUAGCCUCCUAUCUGUUCUCCCUACUGCCAGUCUCAUGCCAGAUACUGCUACCAGGCUGCACCUGAGGCAUAUGGCCAGGGAUUG
This is a long non-coding RNA of Phacochoerus africanus (Common warthog), 639 nucleotides long. RefSeq lists it as uncharacterized. The transcript is spliced from 5 exons. The record is from RefSeq and is a predicted model, not a curated record. NCBI's taxonomy places the organism in Eukaryota, Metazoa, Chordata, Mammalia, Artiodactyla, Suidae.